Molecule: ribosomal RNA, 555 nt
Filed under: Salmonella enterica subsp. enterica serovar Enteritidis
Lineage: Bacteria; Pseudomonadati; Pseudomonadota; Gammaproteobacteria; Enterobacterales; Enterobacteriaceae
Description: partial 23S ribosomal RNA
Rfam family: Bacterial large subunit ribosomal RNA
Source: RNAcentral
GAAUAGGGGAGCCGGAGGGAAACCGAGUCUUAAUUGGGCGUUAAGUUGCAGGGUAUAGACCCGAAACCCGGUGAUCUAGCCAUGGGCAGGUUGAAGGUUGGGUAACACUAACUGGAGGACCGAACCGACUAAUGUUGAAAAAUUAGCGGAUGACCUGUGGCUGGGGGUGAAAGGCCAAUCAAACCGGGAGAUAGCUGGUUCUCCCCGAAAGCUAUUUAGGUAGCGCCUCGUGAAUUCAUCUCCGGGGGUAGAGCACUGUUUCGGCUAGGGGGCCAUCCCGGCUUACCAACCCGAUGCAAACUGCGAAUACCGGAGAAUGUUAUCACGGGAGACACACGGCGGGUGCUAACGUCCGUCGUGAAGAGGGAAACAACCCAGACCGCCAGCUAAGGUCCCAAAGUCAUGGUUAAGUGGGAAACGAUGUGGGAAGGCCCAGACAGCCAGGAUGUUGGCUUAGAAGCAGCCAUCAUUUAAAGAAAGCGUAAUAGCUCACUGGUCGAGUCGGCCUGCGCGGAAGAUGUAACGGGGCUAAACCAUGCACCGAAGCUGCGGCAG